RNAcentral lists this ribosomal RNA (464 nucleotides) under uncultured bacterium. RNAcentral's name for it is "bacterial SSU rRNA". It matches the Rfam family "Bacterial small subunit ribosomal RNA", at positions 28 to 507 of the family's 1533-position model. The record is from RNAcentral.
GAUGAACGCUGGCGGUAUGCCUAACACAUGCAAGUCGUACGAGAGUUUUUAACUCUAGUGGCGGACGGGUGAGUAACACGUNAGAAUUUGCCUUUAGGAGGGGGGACAACAAAUUGGAAACGAAUGCUAAUACCCCAUAUGCUUUCGAGUGAAAUGGAUUUUAUCCGCCUAGAGAGAAGCUCGCGGCUGAUUAGCUUGUUGGUAAGGUAAGAGCUUACCAAGGCGACGAUCAGUAUCUGGUUUGAGAGGACGAUCAGACACACUGGAACUGAGACACGGUCCAGACUCCUACGGGAGGCAGCAGUGGGGAAUAUUGGACAAUGGGCGAAAGCCUGAUCCAGCAAUGCCGCGUGAGUGAAGAAGGCCUUCGGGUUGUAAAGCUCUUUUGUCAGGGAAGAAACGGUGAGGGCUAAUAUCUCUUGCUAAUGACGGUACCUGAAGAAUAAGCACCGGCUAACUACGUG